CGCGUAGGCGGAUUACUAAGUCAGGGGUGAAAUCCCGGGGCUCAACCCCGGAACUGCCUUUGAUACUGGUAGUCUUGAGUUCGAGAGAGGUGAGUGGAACUCCGAGUGUAGAGGUGAAAUUCGUAGAUAUUCGGAAGAACACCAGUGGCGAAGGCGGCUCACUGGCUCGAUACUGACGCUGAGGUGCGAAAGUGUGGGGAGCAAACA
RNAcentral lists this ribosomal RNA (207 nucleotides) under uncultured bacterium. RNAcentral describes it as "partial 16S ribosomal RNA". It matches the Rfam family "Bacterial small subunit ribosomal RNA", at positions 568 to 774 of the family's 1533-position model. The record is from RNAcentral.